Nylanderia fulva is the source of this 449-nucleotide non-coding RNA. Lineage: Eukaryota; Metazoa; Arthropoda; Insecta; Hymenoptera; Formicidae. The record is from RefSeq and is a predicted model, not a curated record.
AAUUUUUAUACUUAUAAUUUUAAUUUCUGCUUUGACAAAUAUUCUACUUGUUUGUAAAGUGUUCUGUCCAGAUUAUGUUACGCCCAUCUUAGAAUACAUAGAUGGCUUAUUUAUAGGACGCAGGUUGAGAAAUUACUUCCGCCGGCUCUUUCGCGUGCGUCGAGAGCCUCGUCGUCCGCCACAUUUGGACGUUCGUUUAAUGCAGGGCGCCACUCGUCAGAUGAAGAAGAAGUAGAACGUUAUUAAUUUGGAAAGUUAACAUGGAUGGUUUGUACACGUUAUAUGUAGUAAAAUAUUACUUAUUUAUGAUAUUAAUAAGAUCUCGUAAGUAUGUCAUCAUGUUCGAAUCUCAAUUUCAAGUUAUUCUGAUAAUGUGUACGUUGCUCCACGAUUAAUUGUUAAGCAAGAAAAUAUAUAUUAUAUAUAAUUAUGUAAUAAUAUAAUCACAA